Molecule: transfer RNA, 71 nt
Filed under: Actinomadura sp. WMMB 499
Lineage: Bacteria; Bacillati; Actinomycetota; Actinomycetes; Streptosporangiales; Thermomonosporaceae
Also listed under: 1 other name
Description: tRNA-Gln
Rfam family: tRNA
About the family: Transfer RNA (tRNA) molecules are approximately 80 nucleotides in length.
Source: RNAcentral
UCCCAGCUCGUCUAGCGGUAGGACGCCGGGCUCUGAACCCGGUAGGCGAGGUUCGAAUCCUUGGCUGGGAG